This 78-nucleotide transfer RNA is filed under the name Limnochorda pilosa. RNAcentral describes it as "tRNA-Pro". It matches the Rfam family "tRNA". From Rfam's summary of the family: Transfer RNA (tRNA) molecules are approximately 80 nucleotides in length. Their secondary structure includes four short double-helical elements and three loops (D, anti-codon, and T loops). Further hydrogen bonds mediate the characteristic L-shaped molecular structure. tRNAs have two regions of fundamental functional importance: the anti-codon, which is responsible for specific mRNA codon recognition, and the 3' end, to which the tRNAs corresponding amino acid is attached (by aminoacyl-tRNA synthetases). tRNAs cope with the degeneracy of the genetic code in two manners: having more than one tRNA (with a specific anti-codon) for a particular amino acid; and 'wobble' base-pairing, i.e. permitting non-standard base-pairing at the 3rd anti-codon position. Lineage: Bacteria; Bacillati; Bacillota; Limnochordia; Limnochordales; Limnochordaceae. The record is from RNAcentral.
CGGGGUGUAGCUCAGCUUGGUCAGAGCGCUGCGUUCGGGACGCAGAGGCCCGCGGUUCAAAUCCGCGCACCCCGACCA